GAUUAAAUCUGAGCCAUUUAAACUCAUAAAAACAACCGCUUUGAUGGCGGUUCACGGCGGUUUCAGUCGGUUUCCUUAGCAGGUUGGUUUCACCACCUUUUCCUGCCCAUGAUCUCCAUGUUUACCCCCACCCCAUGCCCACUCUCCUCCUAACCCUCCACUCUCUCGGUUAUUGUAGGUCAGUUCUUCUCACCUAGCCAUAAAAAAUUGGCAGUUCAAGGUGGUUAUGUGCUCUCACUCUCCUAAAAAUUGGCAGUGUAGAGGGGUUAACUGCCAUGUUUUCCUAAAAGCAUGGGUAUAUCCGUUAAAAAAAUAUGAUCUACAAAUCUUCAACUGCUUCUACGAUUCCCUUAUAUCCCACUGCAAUCCCCUUUGGAACCCUUGAAACGCCCAACACCGAUUUCUCUCCGACGACAGCCUUAACCCUAAUAAGCCUCCGAUCGGUGGUCGACUUGCAGAGAUUUAGGGUUUCUCCAGCGAGUUCAAGAUGGAAAAAUUGAGAAGAUGGAAUCAAAUUCCAAAGAAGCUUUCCUGUUGUAGCCGUCGCCAUCAUCAUUAGCUUCGUCUCCGCUCUCGAGCCAACCGAUCAGGCACUCUUCAUCUUUUUAUCUUUUUUCCAGCCAUCUCCCUACUCUUCUCCACUUCCAUCUUACUGGUAUCAUUUGGCCAUUAGGACGUCAGUCAUUUUUCUCACUCAUUCAAGUACUUCAGGGAAUCGAUGGAGUGGCUAAAAUUAAAGAUGCUUAUAAUUCUGCAACUUGGAUGUUAGGGGUAAUUCCACAUGUCAGGAAGCAGCUCUUGGAGUUAAAUUUGCAGAAGUCUACAAAAAUAGUGUUGUACAAUCGAUCUAAUGAAAACGGAAGGUUUUGCCAAGUGAUGGUCAUCUACCUAAUAUCCAGUAGCUAUUUUGAAGAAGAAGAACACAAGUGAUGCAUUUGGUGAAGACAAUGUUGGCCUUCUCACCGGAGAUACAUGUUAUAUAAGAGGUACAGUUUGGGAAGAAGUAGUGUGUUUUUCCUACAUUCAUCUAAUUUUUUAGAAUGAGUACCUGCUUCCCCAUGCUCUACAAUUCCCAACAGGUCUUUAUUGUGUGGACCUUUUCCGGUGGAUAUAGGAAAAUGUAUUUGUAUUAUUAUGAAGGAAAAUAUCUUAAUGGGCUAAGUGAUGGAAGUCUUUACACUCUCUACACUAGUAUGAUCGAGAUUCUAAACACUAAGAAUGCUGACAUGAUGGGUUGGCAUUGCUCAACGGCCUAGGUUUUGGUAAGAUUAGAAAACAAAUCAUUUGAGUAAAUUCAAGAGCACAUUUGUCCUUUUUACAACUCAUCCUAUAUUUGCCAUGUAUUUAAAUACCCUCGCAUAAAGACUUUUGAGAAUGCUUCACCAAGGGUGAACUUACAUUGGCACGGUGGGAUAUAUUAUCACAUAAGAACAUUUAAACCAUGCCACAUGUUGCCCCCUUGCUACCAUAUAUUAGUGUUGAUACUUUGACAAAUGGGCACCAUGCAUCAAGUCAACAAGUCAAAAAAGGCCAUCUUUGAGGUUAAAGGGGACGAUCCAAAAGCCGAAAAAAUUGAGGGAGUAAACCAUGUUUGACUGUUACAAAACUUUCCCACAUUGUUGCCUACCGUUUACUUUUGCAUUAAAAUGACAUCAUUUCAUGUUUUGUCAAUCACUUUUAUUUUAUAUUGUUGUGUGGUUGUACACUAUUCACGUUCGUUUUCCUUUUAUAAAUUAAAAA
Helianthus annuus (common sunflower) is the source of this 1740-nucleotide long non-coding RNA. RefSeq lists it as uncharacterized. The transcript is spliced from 9 exons. NCBI's taxonomy places the organism in Eukaryota, Viridiplantae, Streptophyta, Magnoliopsida, Asterales, Asteraceae. The record is from RefSeq and is a predicted model, not a curated record.